AUUCUUCAACCCACACUUUUCUUUAUGAAUCGAGUGGUGUUUGGAUUCUGAGCACUGCUGAUCUCACGAUCGGCUUGCUCGUAAUAUAUUAGCAACUCUAAUCUAUAUUUGGAUUGACUCGGUGUAAUAGACUAUUCGCUGAGGAUUACUUGCUUUCGGGCAAGUGGCCAAGUAUUAACCUGACUUUGCUCCUAAUCCGACUACUAGUCAACUUUUAAGAU
Molecule: unclassified non-coding RNA, 221 nt
Filed under: Vonarxula javanica
Lineage: Eukaryota; Fungi; Basidiomycota; Microbotryomycetes; Chrysozymaceae
Description: ITS 2
Source: RNAcentral